RNAcentral lists this transfer RNA (63 nucleotides) under Occasjapyx japonicus. Its description in RNAcentral is "tRNA-Pro". Lineage: Eukaryota; Metazoa; Arthropoda; Diplura; Dicellurata; Japygidae. The record is from RNAcentral.
CAGGGGGUAGUUUAAGUUAAAACACUAGUUUUGGGGACUGGUAAUGUAUCAUUACUCCUCUGA